UGAAGGCGGGCUGGAAUCUCUCGGGGUUACAGCCUUGCUGAAUUAUUCACCCUUGUCUUUUGCGUACUUCUUGUUUCCUUGGUGGGUUCGCCCACCACUAGGACAAACAUAAACCUUUUGUAAUUGCAAUCAGCGUCAGUAACAAAUUAAUAAUUACAACUUUCAACAACGGAUCUCUUGGUUCUGGCAUCGAUGAAGAACGCAGCGAAAUGCGAUAAGUAGUGUGAAUUGCAGAAUUCAGUGAAUCAUCGAAUCUUUGAACGCACAUUGCGCCCUUUGGUAUUCCAAAGGGCAUGCCUGUUCGAGCGUCAUUUGUACCCUCAAGCUUUGCUUGGUGUUGGGCGUCUUGUCUCUAGCUUUGCUGGAGACUCGCCUUAAAGUAAUUGGCAGCCGGCCUACUGGUUUCGGAGCGCAGCACAAGUCGCACUCUCUAUCAGCAAAGGUCUAGCAUCCAUUAAGCCUUUUUUCAACUUUUGACCUCGGAUCAGGUAGGGAUACCCGCUGAACUUAAGCAUAUCAAUAAGCGGAGGAA
This 532-nucleotide ribosomal RNA is filed under the name Alternaria alternata. RNAcentral describes it as "eukaryotic LSU rRNA". The stretch from base 158 to 311 matches the Rfam family "5.8S ribosomal RNA". The record is from RNAcentral. Lineage: Eukaryota; Fungi; Ascomycota; Dothideomycetes; Pleosporales; Pleosporaceae.